GAUGAACGCUAGCUACAGGCUUAACACAUGCAAGUCGAGGGGCAUCAGGAAGAAAGCUUGCUUCAAUUGCCGGCGACCGGCGCACGGGUGAGUAACGCGUAUCCAACCUUCCGCUUACUCGGGGAUAGCCUUUCGAAAGAAAGAUUAAUACCCGAUAGCAUAAUGAUUCCGCAUGGUUUCAUUAUUAAAGGAUUCCGGUAAAGGAUGGGGAUGCGUUCCAUUAGGUUGUUGGUGGGGUAACGGCCCACCAAGCCUUCGAUGGAUAGGGGUUCUGAGAGGAAGGUCCCCCACAUUGGAACUGAGACACGGUCCAAACUCCUACGGGAGGCAGCAGUGAGGAAUAUUGGUCAAUGGGCGAGAGCCUGAACCAGCCAAGUAGCGUGAAGGAUGACGGCCCUACGGGUUGUAAACUUCUUUUGUGCGGGAAUAAAGGAGCCUACGUGUAGGCUUUUGCAUGUACCGUAACGAAUAAGCAUCGGCUAACUCCGUGCCAGCAGCCGCGGUAAUACGGAGGAUGCGAGCGUUAUCCGGAUUUAUUGGGUUUAAAGGGAGCGUAGACGGGUUUUUAAGUCAGCUGUGAAAGUUUGGGGCUCAACCUUAAAAUUGCAGUUGAAACUGGAGACCUUGAGUACGGUUGAGGCAGGCGGAAUUCGUGGUGUAGCGGUGAAAUGCUUAGAUAUCACGAAGAACCCCGGUUGCGAAGGCAGCCUGCUAAGCCGCCACUGACGUUGAGGCUCGAAAGUGCGGGUAUCAAACAGG
Molecule: ribosomal RNA, 759 nt
Filed under: uncultured bacterium
Lineage: Bacteria
Description: bacterial SSU rRNA
Rfam family: Bacterial small subunit ribosomal RNA
Source: RNAcentral